RNAcentral lists this ribosomal RNA (919 nucleotides) under uncultured bacterium. RNAcentral's name for it is "bacterial SSU rRNA". It matches the Rfam family "Bacterial small subunit ribosomal RNA", at positions 8 to 916 of the family's 1533-position model. The record is from RNAcentral.
AGAGUUUGAUCAUGGCUCAGGACGAACGCUGGCGGCGUGGAUUAGGCAUGCAAGUCGAACGGUAUGGUGCUUUCGGGCAUCAGAGAGUGGCGAACGGGUGAGUAACACGUAGGUGAUCUACCCUCAAGACGGGGACAACCCAGGGAAACUUGGGCUAAUACCGGAUGAUAGCAGCAGUGAUGUUGUUUAAAAGAUGGCUUUCGGGCUGUCGUUUGGGGAUGAGCCUGCGUCCUAUUAGCUAGUUGGUGUGGUAAAGGCACACCAAGGCGAUGAUAGGUAGGCGGCCUUAACGGGUGGUCGCCCACACUGGGAUUGAGAUACGGCCCAGACUCCUACGGGAGGCAGCAGUCGAGAAUAGUCUACAAUGGUCGGAAGACUGAUAGUGCGACGCCGCGUGAACGAGGAAGCCCUUCGGGGUGUAAAGUUCUUUUAUAUGUGAGCAGUGGGUUCUACGUUAAUAGCGUGGGAUCAGGGAUAUUAGCAUAUGAAUAAGCAACGGCUAACUCCGUGCCAGCAGCCGCGGUAACACGGGGGUUGCGAGCGUUGUCCGGAAUUACUAGGCGUAAAGGGCAGGUAGGCGGAUCUAUAAGUUUUUUGUCAAAUUCAACGGCUCACCCGUUGCUCGGCAGGAGAUACUGUAGAUCUGGAAUGCGGUUGGGGAAGACAGAAUUCCUGGUGUAGCGGUGGAAUGCGCAGAGAUCAGGAGGAAUACCUAAGGCGAAGGCAGUCUUCUAAGCCGUAAUUGACGCUAAACUGCGAAGGUGUGGGUAUCAAACAGGAUUAGAUACCCUGGUAGUCCACACAGUAAACGAUAAUCACUGGGUGUCGGGUUCGUAGAGGAUUCGGUGCCGUAGCUAACGCGAUAAGUGAUUCGCCUGGGGAGUACGAUCGCAAGGUUGAAACUCAAAGGAAUUGACGG